UCAGUCUAUAAGUUGGUAAACUUCUUUAAUCAACAACAAUGUUGAUCAGUGGAUCUAGUUGCUCAAUAAUUCCUGACAAUAAAUAACAGUAUAAGUAUGACCGUAUAAUAAAUAAAUCAAACUGACAAAGUUUGUCCUGUGUGCCUUCUGUGAAUAAAUGAUUUAUUCUUUUGUGUGAUAAAUGGCAUGUUGCAUAAAUGACAUAGUUUAAUGGCAAUCAUAUAUUCUAGGUCAUGAAUAAAUAUUGUAUAUAUGUCACUAGGUAAUGAAUAAUAUAUAUGUGUGUGUAUAUAUAUAUAUUAUAUUUUCAGGCAAGUUGUUGAUAUCCAAUUUGGUCAGAUGAGGUGAUAUAUAAUGUAAAUGGUGUAGUGGGUGUACAGACUUUGCCAUGUUUUACGGUAGUGGUCAUAAAGUGAUCA
Molecule: long non-coding RNA, 419 nt
Filed under: Malus domestica (apple)
Lineage: Eukaryota; Viridiplantae; Streptophyta; Magnoliopsida; Rosales; Rosaceae
Description: long non-coding RNA (MDOM_LNC003128)
Source: RNAcentral